GCCUAAGACAGCUCAACUGACCCUUUGAAGAAGGCACCAGGAACUGAGGUGAAAGGCAGAGCAAAGGAUGUGACAGAUUCUCUGAAAUCUGCUUGACCAGCCCAUUUACAUGGAGGAGAUUAAGAUUGUUCUAGAAGAACUACAAAAAGAAAACAUCAAAAUUUACCUCUGCACAUUCAAAAAGGCUAUUUCAUGGUUCAGGACCCAGUAAAGUCGGACCACUGACUCCCGGUUAAUAUAAAAGAAGGACAUUAAUAAAAGUUUGUCCCAUGGGUAUAGUUGACUUGAAGAAUGUAACAGCCUUUUUUUAUUUUUCUUCGCUGUAACCGUAAACUGAAUUCUUGUUAAUUUCCUGUCCCCUUUUCAGAAGCUUCAGCACAUUUUUGGGGGUAGUUUUGAGAAAGCACAGCUUGUAUCUUCCUCUGUUCCCACAAUGUCCAUAUAAACCACACUCUGGAGAUAAAUACCACCAAGACCUCUAUGCCUCCAAGAUAGGAAAUUGCCAGGGGUUGUGUGCAUGCCUGCCUCAUGUGACAAGCGAAGUGUGCCCUGGUCGCCCCUGUUUUCUUUCUGUCUCCUAGGUUAAAAAACAAAAUAAAUCAGAGCGCUUUGACUGCUCUGUGACUAGCCAGCUGCAGGCUUUUCCCAGCAGGCUUGGCCUUCAUCCAGGGCCUUGAACAUUCCCAGGCACUGAUAAAGACCGAUUAGACUGUUGCUCAAAACAUUAAAUGAAGCAGGUCCUGGCCCAGAGCCCACAUUCUUUAACCCCUCCUGGAAAGCUCACCCCCUGACCCCUGGCUGCAGACAUUCCUGGGUAGCAUCUCUCCCUCGUACUGUGUGUAUCAUGAGGCACAAUGCAGCAUGCCAGUGUCCUCCCACCAAGCCAGUCCCACUAAGAGAAGUUUCCACUUGACCACCCUGGAGGCUAGGGCUUCUCUCUUUGCAGACCCAGCUGGUCUCAUCUUCAGAUGGUGUGAGGAUGCUCUUGUGGCAAAAAGAAUAAGGACUGAACCGAAACAUUGCCAUAUGGAACCAGUUUGCGGAGGAAGACCAGAAGGCCUCCUCCCGUACCUGAGCGUAAUGGAGCAACGUGUCAACAUGGAGCGGACAUCAAAAACAAAGCAAAGAAACUCUUCUACCAAAUCUGGCUGACCGGACCGGUGGGUCUUCAGUGGCUCCCACCGCAGGCAGCAGCAGGUUCGAUGUUCUCAGUGUCUCUCUCUAAGUCCCUGGAAUGCAGUCACUGUCCCCUGGCAGACAGGAUUCCUGGACAAAAGAACUCAUUGUAGCUCAACACAGCAUCAAGACUUUGCUCAUGGUGUUCUUCAGGGUGGCCUGGAGAUUUGGGGCUGGAGGGAUUCUGGGGAGAUUUGUUCUCGCCCCUGAUUGCCUCACCCAAACCUCGGACUUGGCAAGAAGAAAGGACUCAAUCCAAGUAACUCCUUCAGCCCAUGGCCCCUCCUUGGAAAAGUUGAGUUCCAACUCAGCAGGAAGCCACCAAUGGCUUCUGGGUCUGUGUUUGGGCAUGAAGCAUGAAGCUGCGGUUCCCAGGGUCCAUGACCAAGUUCUCUUCCCUGGCCAGAACACAAGAUGCUUUCUCUUCGAUUUCCCUUCAGCACGGUGCUGGGAAUGUGAACACAACGAUUUUGUUUUGAAACGACAUUCUCUGAUUAUAGCUCAACAAUUUAAUUAUAGUUAUUAAAGAGCCACCCAGCUUAGUAGUUGUGGAAUAAAGGGGGCGGAGGCAAACCAACAGUUUUCGGAAUCAGCCUGAGCUUAUUUACAUAGUAAACAAAACCAUUGCUGAAUUCAGGCUGGUGAAAGAAGUUGUAUGGCUGGAAGUGUGACAUGUAGACAGGUGACCAAGUGACCUGCUCUGCCACAGUGAGGAGUUUUAACUACUUCUACACGUGUGCCUCUUCUUCUACAACUUACCAGCAUUAGA
Molecule: long non-coding RNA, 1945 nt
Organism: Onychomys torridus (southern grasshopper mouse)
Lineage: Eukaryota; Metazoa; Chordata; Mammalia; Rodentia; Cricetidae
Exons: 5
Source: RefSeq, a predicted model, not a curated record